GACGAACGCUGGCGGCGUGCCUAAUACAUGCAAGUAGAACGCACAGUUUAUACCGUAGCUUGCUACACCAUAGACUGUGAGUUGCGAACGGGUGAGUAACGCGUAGGUAACCUGCCUGGUAGCGGGGGAUAACUAUUGGAAACGAUAGCUAAUACCGCAUAAUAUUAAUUAUUGCAUGAUAAUUAAUUGAAAGGUGCAAUUGCACCACUACCAGAUGGACCUGCGUUGUAUUAGCUAGUAGGUGAGGUAACGGCUCACCUAGGCGACGAUACAUAGCCGACCUGGGAGGGUGAUCGGCCACACUGGGACUGAGACACGGCCCAGACUCCUACGGGAGGCAGCAGUAGGGAAUCUUCGGCAAUGGACGGAAGUCUGACCGAGCAACGCCGCGUGAGUGAAGAAGGGUUUCGGAUCGUAAAGCUCUGUUGUAAGAGAAGAACGGGUGUGAGAGUGGAAAGUUCACACUGUGACGGUAUCUUACCAGAAAGGGACGGCUAACUACGUG
RNAcentral lists this ribosomal RNA (505 nucleotides) under uncultured bacterium. Its description in RNAcentral is "partial 16S ribosomal RNA". It matches the Rfam family "Bacterial small subunit ribosomal RNA", at positions 28 to 507 of the family's 1533-position model. The record is from RNAcentral.